UUGUGAACUUAUACCUACUGUUGCCUCGGCGUCAGGCCGGCCUCCUCACCGAGGCCCCCCGGAGACGGGGAGCAGCCCGCCGGCGGCCAACUAAACUCUUGUUUCUAUAGUGAAUCUCUGAGUAAAAAACAUAAAUGAAUCAAAACUUUCAACAACGGAUCUCUUGGUUCUGGCAUCGAUGAAGAACGCAGCGAAAUGCGAUAAGUAAUGUGAAUUGCAGAAUUCAGUGAAUCAUCGAAUCUUUGAACGCACAUUGCGCCCCCUGGUAUUCCGGGGGGCAUGCCUGUUCGAGCGUCAUUUCAACCCUCAAGCCUGGCUUGGUGAUGGGGCACUGCUUCGAGAGGAGCAGGCCCUGAAAUUCAGUGGCGAGCUCGCCAGGACCCCGAGCGUAGUAGUUAUAUCUCGCUUUGGAAGGCCCUGGCGGUGCCCUGCCGUUAAACCCCCAACUUCUGAAAAUUUGACCUCGGAUCAGGUAGGAAUACCCGCUGAACUUAAGC
RNAcentral lists this ribosomal RNA (497 nucleotides) under Phomopsis sp. XS60. RNAcentral describes it as "eukaryotic LSU rRNA". The stretch from base 144 to 297 matches the Rfam family "5.8S ribosomal RNA". Lineage: Eukaryota; Fungi; Ascomycota; Sordariomycetes; Diaporthales; Diaporthaceae. The record is from RNAcentral.